UACGUAGGUGGCAAGCGUUGUCCGGAUUUACUGGGCGUAAAGAGCGCGCAGGCGGUCGGAUAAGUCGAAUGUGAAAGCCCCCGGCUCAACUGGGGAGGGUCAUUCGAUACUGUUCGACUCGAAGGCAGGAGAGGGAAGUGGAAUUCCCGGUGUAGUGGUGAAAUGCGUAGAUAUCGGGAGGAACACCGGUGGCGAAGGCGGCUUCCUGGACCGACACUGACGCUGAGGCGCGAAAGCUAGGGGAGCAAACGGG
RNAcentral lists this ribosomal RNA (253 nucleotides) under uncultured bacterium. RNAcentral describes it as "partial 16S ribosomal RNA". It matches the Rfam family "Bacterial small subunit ribosomal RNA", at positions 524 to 776 of the family's 1533-position model. The record is from RNAcentral.